AUGGUGUCAGAGAUUUGGCACCGAAAAUCUAAGCAUUUAAGGUAUAGAUUUUUGGGUUGAAAUUUAGCUUGGGAUAAUUGCAAUUUUGGUCCCUAAUUGUAUAGGAACUUUGCAAGUUGAUCCUUGAGCUUCAACUAUAAAUAGGCCUAACUAUUUCUCAUUUUCUACAUCCCACAUUUGCCAUUCUCUACUUAAGGCAAUUGUUCUCUCUC
This 212-nucleotide long non-coding RNA is filed under the name Gossypium barbadense (sea-island cotton). RNAcentral's name for it is "long non-coding RNA (GBAR_LNC015387)". Lineage: Eukaryota; Viridiplantae; Streptophyta; Magnoliopsida; Malvales; Malvaceae. The record is from RNAcentral.